RNAcentral lists this ribosomal RNA (1544 nucleotides) under Escherichia coli 536. RNAcentral describes it as "16S ribosomal RNA". It matches the Rfam family "Bacterial small subunit ribosomal RNA". Lineage: Bacteria; Pseudomonadati; Pseudomonadota; Gammaproteobacteria; Enterobacterales; Enterobacteriaceae. The record is from RNAcentral.
UUAAAUUGAAGAGUUUGAUCAUGGCUCAGAUUGAACGCUGGCGGCAGGCCUAACACAUGCAAGUCGAACGGUAACAGGAAUCAGCUUGCUGAUUCGCUGACGAGUGGCGGACGGGUGAGUAAUGUCUGGGAAACUGCCUGAUGGAGGGGGAUAACUACUGGAAACGGUAGCUAAUACCGCAUAACGUCGCAAGACCAAAGAGGGGGACCUUCGGGCCUCUUGCCAUCGGAUGUGCCCAGAUGGGAUUAGCUAGUAGGUGGGGUAAAGGCUCACCUAGGCGACGAUCCCUAGCUGGUCUGAGAGGAUGACCAGCCACACUGGAACUGAGACACGGUCCAGACUCCUACGGGAGGCAGCAGUGGGGAAUAUUGCACAAUGGGCGCAAGCCUGAUGCAGCCAUGCCGCGUGUAUGAAGAAGGCCUUCGGGUUGUAAAGUACUUUCAGCGGGGAGGAAGGGAGUAAAGUUAAUACCUUUGCUCAUUGACGUUACCCGCAGAAGAAGCACCGGCUAACUCCGUGCCAGCAGCCGCGGUAAUACGGAGGGUGCAAGCGUUAAUCGGAAUUACUGGGCGUAAAGCGCACGCAGGCGGUUUGUUAAGUCAGAUGUGAAAUCCCCGGGCUCAACCUGGGAACUGCAUCUGAUACUGGCAAGCUUGAGUCUCGUAGAGGGGGGUAGAAUUCCAGGUGUAGCGGUGAAAUGCGUAGAGAUCUGGAGGAAUACCGGUGGCGAAGGCGGCCCCCUGGACGAAGACUGACGCUCAGGUGCGAAAGCGUGGGGAGCAAACAGGAUUAGAUACCCUGGUAGUCCACGCCGUAAACGAUGUCGACUUGGAGGUUGUGCCCUUGAGGCGUGGCUUCCGGAGCUAACGCGUUAAGUCGACCGCCUGGGGAGUACGGCCGCAAGGUUAAAACUCAAAUGAAUUGACGGGGGCCCGCACAAGCGGUGGAGCAUGUGGUUUAAUUCGAUGCAACGCGAAGAACCUUACCUGGUCUUGACAUCCACGGAAGUUUUCAGAGAUGAGAAUGUGCCUUCGGGAACCGUGAGACAGGUGCUGCAUGGCUGUCGUCAGCUCGUGUUGUGAAAUGUUGGGUUAAGUCCCGCAACGAGCGCAACCCUUAUCCUUUGUUGCCAGCGGUCCGGCCGGGAACUCAAAGGAGACUGCCAGUGAUAAACUGGAGGAAGGUGGGGAUGACGUCAAGUCAUCAUGGCCCUUACGACCAGGGCUACACACGUGCUACAAUGGCGCAUACAAAGAGAAGCGACCUCGCGAGAGCAAGCGGACCUCAUAAAGUGCGUCGUAGUCCGGAUUGGAGUCUGCAACUCGACUCCAUGAAGUCGGAAUCGCUAGUAAUCGUGGAUCAGAAUGCCACGGUGAAUACGUUCCCGGGCCUUGUACACACCGCCCGUCACACCAUGGGAGUGGGUUGCAAAAGAAGUAGGUAGCUUAACCUUCGGGAGGGCGCUUACCACUUUGUGAUUCAUGACUGGGGUGAAGUCGUAACAAGGUAACCGUAGGGGAACCUGCGGUUGGAUCACCUCCUUA